RNAcentral lists this ribosomal RNA (443 nucleotides) under uncultured bacterium. RNAcentral's name for it is "partial 16S ribosomal RNA". It matches the Rfam family "Bacterial small subunit ribosomal RNA", at positions 338 to 795 of the family's 1533-position model. The record is from RNAcentral.
CCUACGGGUGGCAGCAGUGGGGGAUAUUGGACAAUGGUGGGAACCCUGAUCCAGCGACGCCGCGUGAGUGAAGAAGUAUUUCGGUAUGUAAAGCUCUGUCAGCAGGGAAGAAAGAAAUGACGGUACCUGACCAAGAAGCCCCGGCUAACUACGUGCCAGCAGCCGCGGUAAUACGUAGGGGGCAAGCGUUAUCCGGAAUUACUGGGUGUAAAGGUAGCGUAGACGGUUAAGUAAGUCUGGAGUGAAAGGCCGGGGCUCAACCCCGGGACGGCUCUGGAAACUAUUGAACUUGAGUGCAGGAGAGGGAAGCGGAAUUCCUAGUGGAGCGGUGAAAUGCGUAGAUAUUAGGAGGAACACCAGUGGCGAAGGCGGCUUACUGGACUGUAACUGACGUUGAGGCUCGAAAGCGUGGGGAGCAAACAGGAUUAGAUACCCUGGUAGUC